Molecule: long non-coding RNA, 916 nt
Organism: Macaca mulatta (Rhesus monkey)
Lineage: Eukaryota; Metazoa; Chordata; Mammalia; Primates; Cercopithecidae
Source: RefSeq, a predicted model, not a curated record
AUCUUCUAAGGUAUCGAGAAUGUCCUGAGCAUCAGGCUGUACCAAAUCUGCCCAGGUCUCCCACAAUGGAUGGACAAUGUAGUCGAUAAAACCAACCUGGAGAAAAAUAAGAUUACACAUCUGUUAUUGUGAUGGUGCUUGAAAAGUAAACACAGUGUCCUGGUUUCCAUGCAAAGAAAGAACAUGAAUAACCAGAAAGAUCAAUCAUAAUGGAUUCCAUGAUUUGGGCACUCACUAUAUGGUGGGUCUCACACUGAAUGCAAUUGAUGUAUUCUCUCUUAAUCCUGAAAAGUAAGUAUUGCUGUAUAUUAUUUAGAAAGGCAGAAACUAUGACUUACUGAGAUUAAAUAUCUUGUCAGAGGUCACAUAACUAGUGAGUGGUGGAGCUGGGACUCAGCCCCAGCUUUGUCUGAUCCCAAAACCUGUGUUCAUCUCACUACAACAGACUGCAUUUCCUUUUACGUGCGCCAGAUAAGUCGUCUGGAUGGAAUCUUCGUGUUUUCCAGGGACCCAAAGACAAAGCACGACUCUGUCACUACUUGGAUUCUAUCACAGGACGAGAGAGCUGUAUGAAUCCUGAGAGCACCCAGUAAAGAGCUUUACUGGUGGGCCAAUCAGACGGUGUUCAGCAGAGCCCAUCGGUGGGAAACACCAGAGUGGAUAACGAUGUUAUGGCAACAGGAAGACCUGUCCCUAAGAUGGAGAGUGAAGAGCUUUGGAUGAGAGAGCUGCUGUAGUGGACCAAGAGGGCAGCUUUGAACCUGACAUGCUGGAGAAAUAUCUGCUUUAUCUAUUUUGCAAGGCUGUUUGGGGGUCCAAGUAAGAUAAUAUAUGGAAAACGUGUGAAAUGCUGCACAGAACAUCAUAUAAACAUAAAACAUCACUGCUAUUAAUAAAAUGGUGUUACUCCUCCUUA